CCUACGGGGUGCUGCAGUGGGGAAUAUUGGACAAUGGGCGAAAGCCUGAUCCAGCCAUGCCGCGUGUGUGAAGAAGGCCUUCGGGUUGUAAAGCACUUUCAGUGGGGAAGAAAGCCUUGGGGCUAAUACCCUCGAGGAAGGACAUUACCCACAGAAGAAGCACCGGCUAACUCCGUGCCAGCAGCCGCGGUAAUACGGAGGGUGCGAGCGUUAAUCGGAAUUACUGGGCGUAAAGCGCGCGUAGGCGGUCUGAUAAGCCGGUUGUGAAAGCCCCGGGCUCAACCUGGGAACGGCAUCCGGAACUGUCAGGCUAGAGUGCAGGAGAGGAAGGUAGAAUUCCCGGUGUAGCGGUGAAAUGCGUAGAGAUCGGGAGGAAUACCAGUGGCGAAGGCGGCCUUCUGGACUGACACUGACGCUGAGGUGCGAAAGCGUGGGGAGCAAACAGGAUUAGAUACCCCAGUAGUC
This 465-nucleotide ribosomal RNA is filed under the name Vreelandella stevensii. RNAcentral describes it as "partial 16S ribosomal RNA". It matches the Rfam family "Bacterial small subunit ribosomal RNA", at positions 338 to 795 of the family's 1533-position model. The record is from RNAcentral. Lineage: Bacteria; Pseudomonadati; Pseudomonadota; Gammaproteobacteria; Oceanospirillales; Halomonadaceae.